RNAcentral lists this ribosomal RNA (895 nucleotides) under Samsoniella tiankengensis. Its description in RNAcentral is "Samsoniella sp. WC-2022e partial large subunit ribosomal RNA". It matches the Rfam family "Eukaryotic large subunit ribosomal RNA", at positions 49 to 979 of the family's 3401-position model. Lineage: Eukaryota; Fungi; Ascomycota; Sordariomycetes; Hypocreales; Cordycipitaceae. The record is from RNAcentral.
AACUGAGUAGAACAACAGGGAUUGCCCCAGUAACGGCGAGUGAAGCGGCAACAGCUCAAAUUUGAAAUCUGGCCUCCGGGUCCGAGUUGUAAUUUGUAGAGGAUGCUUUUGGCGAGGUGCCUUCCGAGUUCCCUGGAACGGGACGCCAUAGAGGGUGAGAGCCCCGUCUGGUCGGACACCGAGCCUCUGUAAAGCUCCUUCGACGAGUCGAGUAGUUUGGGAAUGCUGCUCAAAAUGGGAGGUAUAUGUCUUCUAAAGCUAAAUAUUGGCCAGAGACCGAUAGCGCACAAGUAGAGUGAUCGAAAGAUGAAAAGCACUUUGAAAAGAGGGUUAAAAAGUACGUGAAAUUGUUGAAAGGGAAGCGCCUAUGACCAGACUUGGGCCCGGUGAAUCAUCCAGCGUUCUCGCUGGUGCACUUUGCCGGGCACAGGCCAGCAUCAGUUUGGCGCGGGGGAUAAAGGUUUUGGGAAUGUGGCUCCCUCGGGAGUGUUAUAGCCCAUUGCGUAAUACCCUGCGCCGGACUGAGGUACGCGCAUCGCAAGGAUGCUGGCGUAAUGGUCAUCAGCGACCCGUCUUGAAACACGGACCAAGGAGUCGUCUUCGUAUGCGAGUGUUCGGGUGUCAAACCCCUACGCGUAAUGAAAGUGAACGCAGGUGAGAGCUUCGGCGCAUCAUCGACCGAUCCUGAUGUUCUCGGAUGGAUUUGAGUAAGAGCAUACGGGGCCGGACCCGAAAGAAGGUGAACUAUGCCUGUAUAGGGUGAAGCCAGAGGAAACUCUGGUGGAGGCUCGCAGCGGUUCUGACGUGCGAAUCGAUCGUCAAAUAUGGGCAUGGGGGCGAAAGACUAAUCGAACCUUCUAGUAGCUGGUUUCCGCCGAAGUUCCCCCUUCAGGAA